This is a regulatory RNA element of Luminiphilus syltensis, 211 nucleotides long. It matches the Rfam family "ilvB-OMG RNA". NCBI's taxonomy places the organism in Bacteria, Pseudomonadati, Pseudomonadota, Gammaproteobacteria, Cellvibrionales, Halieaceae. The record is from Rfam.
GUCACGCGAACGGCAACGGCUAUCGGUGAGUACCCUCAUCCACUGGCCUACCCCCAUAACGGGAUAGUUAUGAGGGCUGUUUGCGGGUUCCGUCAGGUGCGCCGCUCAGGCGUUACUCGGGCUCGACACUGCGUUACCUCGCAGGGCGACCGAUACACGGGUUUCGUGAUCGAUGUUCCGGUGUGGUUACCCCGGCGCGAUCCGGCCAGUG